GACGAACGCUGGCGGCGUGCUUAACACAUGCAAGUCGAACGGAAAGGCCUCUUUCGGGGGGUACUCGAGUGGCGAACGGGUGAGUAACACGUGAGUAACCUGCCCUUGACUUUGGGAUAACUUCAGGAAACUGGGGCUAAUACCGGAUAGGAGCUCCUGCUGCAUGGUGGGGGUUGGAAAGUUUCGGCGGUUGGGGAUGGACUCGCGGCUUAUCAGCUUGUUGGUGGGGUAGUGGCUUACCAAGGCUUUGACGGGUAGCCGGCCUGAGAGGGUGACCGGCCACAUUGGGACUGAGAUACGGCCCAGACUCCUACGGGAGGCAGCAGUGGGGAAUAUUGCACAAUGGGUGGAAGCCUGAUGCAGCAACGCCGUGUGCGGGAUGACGGCCUUCGGGUUGGAAACCGCUUUCGCUCAUGACGAAGCUUUGUGUGACGGUAGUGGGUAAAGAAGCGCCGGCUAACUACGUG
Molecule: ribosomal RNA, 467 nt
Filed under: uncultured bacterium
Lineage: Bacteria
Description: partial 16S ribosomal RNA
Rfam family: Bacterial small subunit ribosomal RNA
Source: RNAcentral